This 373-nucleotide ribosomal RNA is filed under the name uncultured bacterium. RNAcentral's name for it is "bacterial SSU rRNA". It matches the Rfam family "Bacterial small subunit ribosomal RNA", at positions 527 to 898 of the family's 1533-position model. The record is from RNAcentral.
GGAGGGCGCAAGCGUUGUUCGGAAUCACUGGGCGUAAAGCGCGUGCAGGCGGCUUGGUAAGUCGGGUGUGAAAUCCCGGAGCUCAACUCCGGAACUGCACCCGAUACUGCCUCGCUAGAGUCCCGGAGAGGAUGGCGGAAUUUCCGGUGUAGAGGUGAAAUUCGUAGAUAUCGGAAGGAACACCAGCGGCGAAGGCGGCCAUCUGGACGGUGACUGACGCUCAGACGCGAAAGCGCGGGGAGCAAACAGGAUUAGAUACCCUGGUAGUCCGCGCUGUAAACGUUGGGUGCUAGGCGUCGUGGGUAUUGACCCCCGCGGUGCCGAAGCUAACGCAUUAAGCACCCCGCCUGGGGAGUACGGUCGCAAGACUAAA